RNAcentral lists this ribosomal RNA (390 nucleotides) under uncultured bacterium. Its description in RNAcentral is "bacterial SSU rRNA". It matches the Rfam family "Bacterial small subunit ribosomal RNA", at positions 28 to 405 of the family's 1533-position model. The record is from RNAcentral.
GAUGAACGCUGGCGGCAUGCCUAAUACAUGCAAGUCGAACGAGAGGAAGGAAAGCUUGCUUUCCUGGAUCUAGUGGCGAACGGGUGAGUAACACGUAGGUAACCUGCCCAUGUGCCCGGGAUAACUUCUGGAAACGGAUGCUAAAACCGGAUAGGUAGCAGACAAGCAUUUGACUGCUAUUAAAGUGGCCUUGGCCAUGAACAUGGAUGGACCUGCGGUGCAUUAGCUGGUUGGUGAGGUAACGGCCCACCAAGGCGACGAUGCAUAGCCGGCCUGAGAGGGCGGACGGGCCACAUUGGGACUGAGACACGGCCCAAACUCCUACGGGAGGCAGCAGUAGGGGAAUAUUGGGCAAUGGGCGCAAGCCUGACCCCAGCAACGCCGCGUGAA